Long non-coding RNA from Drosophila gunungcola (fruit fly), 1419 nucleotides. RefSeq lists it as uncharacterized. NCBI's taxonomy places the organism in Eukaryota, Metazoa, Arthropoda, Insecta, Diptera, Drosophilidae. The record is from RefSeq and is a predicted model, not a curated record. The transcript has 3 exons.
CAGUGCAACAAAAAAAAUAAUUUGAAGAAGUUAUGGGCCAACUUUGGCGGAACACUUGAAAAUAAUAUCGGGAUUAAUUUUCACUAUAUUUUGGAACAUAUUUUGCACAUAUUAAACUUUUCGAUGAAUUCCUCUCACUGCGUAGAACUUAUUUUGCGAUGUAUUGAAUGCAACUUUGACGUACGGCCAAAUGUACUUAUGUAUUUCUUGUAACUUGAUAUGCACAAAGGGAAAUUGGACUUAGAUGGCCGCACGAUCAAAGAGAAAUGGAAAAGACGAUGAUUUUUUUUUAAUUGCCUUUGUCGGAUUAAGUCGAAUUUGAAUUUGAAAUGACCAGUCUAUAUGUUGUAUGGUUAGUGCUGAAACCCAAUAAGAAUAAAUAUAGCUGUACGUUCGCGUUAAUAUCAUCUGAAAACACUAGGAAAAAAAAAGAAAAGUCAAACAACAACCACAUUCACCAAUUAAUCUAACAUAAUUCUUUUUGAUCAGCUGUCGCCGUCGGAGAAAGAUCUUUCGCCGUUGGAUUGACGACCAUGUAAAUGAAAUAUAAUAAUAAAUUUAAAUUAAAUGGAGAUGCUCCCAUGACUAUUUGGUUAAAAGUGUUUAGUGAAUUCGACUAUGCCCUUUAGGCAUAUCGGCAAAGAGUGAACGGAUACAGAACAACGCUAAAGCCUCUCUCUCGCUCUCGCUUCCAUUUCUUCUGAUGAGCAGUUUUGUUUUUUUUUUUAUUUUGGCCUACGCAUUAUUCUACUAGUGUUACUCUCUCUUUCUAACGCAUGCAGUCACGCAUCGAGAGGCGAUAAGAGCUUUGCGAUCUUUGUGUUUACCUUUUUGUAUUCUUUGCCCUACUUAUUACGCUGCCUGCUGAGCUUUGACCUAGUUAAAUUUUUGUAAUGUGCUGGUGUCUCAUUAUAAAAAGUAUGGCUAAACUUUAUUUAGUUCUAUCACUAUGAAAGCGAUUUAAACUUAAUGGUAUUUCAAACUAUUGAAACAUAUUACAUUUAUGCCAACUUAUCUCACUGGAAGGGUGGGGAUACUGCCGCUUACAGACAUCUGAGCUGGACCAACAGGUUGUGUGGAAGGACAUCCAUAAUGCGACCAGGGCAUUUGCCCACUUGGACGUCAAGGAAAGGGAGCUGAAGGUGUUGUUUGACGGAUUUGCAAAGAUGAACACUACGAUUCAAAAAUAGAAGCAAGAAUCUUCGUAUAUGUGGUAGUUAUUUCCUGCCAGAGAUCCAGCAGUAAUGUAUUGUGGUGCUGCUUUUAGUCGGUUUUAUGCAAAGAAGAUUUUACAUUCGAAAGAAAUCAAAAAUUGCGCCAUUCUUGCAUAUAGAAACCAGCUGUUGAAGGGGUGGCACUUAUAGCCUGCUUCCAUUGCCGCAUUAAAACGCAUUUAGCCAAAUGCGCAUUUAUUUACAC